This 439-nucleotide ribosomal RNA is filed under the name uncultured bacterium. Its description in RNAcentral is "bacterial SSU rRNA". It matches the Rfam family "Bacterial small subunit ribosomal RNA", at positions 339 to 794 of the family's 1533-position model. The record is from RNAcentral.
UUACGGGAGGCAGCAGUUGGGAAUUUUGCACAAUGGGCGAAAGCCUGAUGCAGCAACACUGCGUGAAGGAUGAAGGUUUUCGGAUUGUAAACUUCUUUUAUCUGGGAAUAAUCUUGAAGGUACCAGAUGAAUAAGCACCGGCUAACUACGUGCCAGCAGCCGCGGUAAUACGUAGGGUGCAAACGUUAUCCGGAUUUAUUGGGCGUAAAGAGCUCGUAGGUGGUUUCGUAAGUUGGAUAUUAAAUACUCCGGCUCAACUGGAGAGAUGUAUCCAAAACUGCGUGACUAGAGGUAUGUAGGGGAGGAUGGAACUUACGGUGUAGCAGUGAAAUGCGUAGAUAUCGUAAGGAACGCCAAUGGUGAAGACAGUCCUCUGGACAUUACCUGACACUGAGGAGCGAAAGCGUGGGGAGCGAACGGGAUUAGAUACCCCGGUAGC